AUGGAGAUCUGAUCUGAUCAGGAGUUUUUAAGGAUAAGACAGACUUAAUGGUACAACGGUAUGAUCACAAUUAUCCUAUAAAGUCCUUAAACACGUUUGGAAAGUUUAUAUACAAUCUUGAUGAAGAUCAAAAGAGAAUCAGAUCACCUUUUAUGAGUUACAAGGAGCGUCCUACGAGUAAUGAAGAAAGAGGAGCGUGCUAGAUCAUUAUAUAUACGAAGACCAAGCUCAAGACUAUUAUCUCAAUUGAAAAAUAUUUGUUCACAUAUUG
Molecule: long non-coding RNA, 271 nt
Filed under: Trifolium pratense (red clover)
Lineage: Eukaryota; Viridiplantae; Streptophyta; Magnoliopsida; Fabales; Fabaceae
Description: long non-coding RNA (TPRA_LNC005496)
Source: RNAcentral